Non-coding RNA from Ornithorhynchus anatinus (platypus), 138 nucleotides. The record is from Rfam. Lineage: Eukaryota; Metazoa; Chordata; Mammalia; Monotremata; Ornithorhynchidae.
CCCCUCUCAGGGUCACACCUGGAGAGUUCCCAGUAUUCUACCAGACUCGACUACAGAAGGGAGAGUCAAGCAGAGGCCUACCCAUUCCAUUCGUAGCUUGGCCAGUGGCUAAUGAGUGGAAGGUGAUCUGCUACAAGU